This 441-nucleotide ribosomal RNA is filed under the name uncultured bacterium. Its description in RNAcentral is "bacterial SSU rRNA". It matches the Rfam family "Bacterial small subunit ribosomal RNA", at positions 25 to 507 of the family's 1533-position model. The record is from RNAcentral.
CAGAACGAACGCUGGCGGCAUGACCUAACACAUGCAAGUCGAGCGCCCGUAGCAAGUACGGGAGCGGCGCACGGGUGAGUAACGCGUGGGAACCUGCCAGAGGUCUGGGACAACCGCGGGAACUGCGGCUGAUACCGGAUGAUUCCUGAGGGACAAAGUACCUUUAUCGCCUUUGGAGGGGCCCGCGUCGGAUUAGGUAGUUGGUGGGGUAACGGCUCACCAAGCCUAUGAUCCGUAACUGGUCUGAGAGGAUGACCAGUCACACUGGGACUGAGACACGGCCCAGACUCCUACGGGAGGCAGCAGUGGGGAGUAUUGGACAAUGGGGGCAACCCUGAUCCAGCAAUGCCGCGUGGGUGAUGAAGGCCUUCGGGUUGUAAAGCCCUUUCGGCGGGGACGAUGAUGACGGUACCCGCAGAAGAAGCCCCGGCUAACUUCGUG